Molecule: long non-coding RNA, 351 nt
Filed under: Gallus gallus (chicken)
Lineage: Eukaryota; Metazoa; Chordata; Aves; Galliformes; Phasianidae
Source: RNAcentral
UGUGUUGAAGGAGCUGGAUACUUUUCCUUUUAAGCAAGAUCACUUCCCAAAGGCAGGUGACCAUCACCUCCCACUCUGAGUUUCAGUACAGUCAGAAUGUCCUGGUCAGAGGGAGUCCAGGGACAAAUCCUGCAUGAACACAAGAACAGGGUAGGGAUCAAAGAAACUUCAGAGCUGCUUGUUCUUGUGUGACACAAGAACAGGAGCCGGUGCCCCAGUGACUGACAAAGGUUUGUGUAGUGAGGAGCUACUGAAUUGCUUGGGUAAUGGGAAAAGGCAAAACACUAAUUUCUUUGAUGGAUUUUUAGAGAUAUUUACAAAUAUUUAGGAAUAGCUUGGAAAGAGAAUUGA